RNAcentral lists this long non-coding RNA (1728 nucleotides) under Monodelphis domestica (gray short-tailed opossum). RNAcentral's name for it is "lncRNA (ENSMODG00000038180.1)". Lineage: Eukaryota; Metazoa; Chordata; Mammalia; Didelphimorphia; Didelphidae. The record is from RNAcentral.
AUGCCUGACUUUCUGUGUCUCUCUCUGUCUCUCGAUUCCAUUUUCCCUCUAUAUGCCCUUCCAUCUAUCUGUCUCUGUCUGUCCCUUUCUUUCACCUUCCCUCAUCCUGUAGUUCUAUUAAUCUUUCAAUGUCUCGAUCUCACAUUCUGUUUCUGUUUCUAUGUCUUUUUGUUCUAUGUUCCUAUCUAUUUAUCUCUCGAUCUGUCUCUGUUUCUAUGUCUUUUUGUUCUAUGUUCCUAUCUAUUUAUCUCUCGAUCUGUCUGUCUGCCUGCCUGUCUAUCUCUCUUUCUGUGUUUGACUACGUGUCUCUCUAGGUGCUAUCUCUAUAUCCAUCUAUCUGCCCUCCUACCUAUCUCACUACCCAUCUGCCAGUCGGCCUGCCUAUCGGUCUUUCUAUCUGUCUGUCUCUAUCUCUCUGGAUUCUCACGGGAUCAGGGAACAAGUACAAACUUUGGAGUCUCCAAUCUAUUAGCUCCUCCGGAAAUCCAGGCUACACCAGAUACGUCUAGGCCCCAAGUUUGGGGUUUCUUGAUUCCAGGUUGACAAUAGAAAAACCGGGAAGGCCAUGGUCCUUUGAUAUUCCCUCAGACUCGGGAAUGGCGAGAUUGGUGUGAGAGCAAAAGAGUGUUCUAAAAUUUUAACUCUGUCUUUGCAAGAUAGGAUUCACGGUGCUGUCCAUCAAUAGAACACUUUCUACAUCUUGCUGUCCUUUAAUUUUUACAGCUGUUCAACAAAUAACCAGAUAAACAACAGACAAUGAAUCACAUGGGAUUUUACAAGUCUGUGCUAUGAUUUUCAUCACGGUCAAAGUGCAAGCAAUUCUGCUUCCAGCAAAAAAAAAACGAUACUGUAUCUACAUUAACAGACCACCAUUGGCAAAUACAGAUUCUACUGUUUCUUGAUAUGAUGCAGUGGAUGUAUUCACAGCAUCGGCAAUAAGGUGUGUCAACAUGGAAUCUAGAAAUCCCAAACUUGUGGCCUAGUGGGAUCUGGUGAAGCCCAGAUUUACGGAGGAGCUUGUAGGUUGAAGACCCCAAAGUUUGUACUUCUUCCCUGUUCCCAUGGGAAUCCUCCCUGAGGGAAUCCGAGGUGAGCAGUUUCAGACUGACAAGGGACCCUCGGGAGAAUGACAAUCGUAGUUAGAUAGUCUCCCCAAUUUUAUCAAGAGACCCUUUCCCAAGAAGAUCCACACCAGGCGAGGACUAUUCUUCAGUAUCCACUAUAAGCACCCCACUCUCUUAGACCCUAGCCUUUUGCUAGCAUUCCUUUCCUAUGCUUGAUUGUAUUCAGUCAGGGAAUUCCUUUUAGCUAUAGCAAUGUCACUCAUCUUUCCAUGCUCCUAGAUUUCCCCCAUGUUGUAGAGAGGAUCCCCAAAUACUUUUCCUCCUUGUAAAGGAGAUCUGAGUUGGAAAUUGCCCAAGCCUUGAGAUAUUCAGUCAAGGGAAAUGCUAAGCCACAGACAGAUAAAUCUUUGGGACCUGUCCAAGGUCCCAACUACUAACAGAUAAACUUCAGGACGAAGGUCCCAGGUGCAAAAUAACUCGGAAACUUUCCAACAAGAGCAUGCAACAGAUAAUGGCCUGGAAUGAGGAAGGGAGGGGGGUUAUUCAUGCUGAAAAGUAUUUAAGACUGAAUCUUCAGGAGGGAACUCAGAACUCUUUUGGCUGAGUUCCCAGUAGUGCGCAUUAGUUCAAUAAAAGGCCCUUUCUUUGCCUGAUUGCGUUGUCC